CCACCGUCAGCACCCAAAGCUGAAAU
This 26-nucleotide non-coding RNA is filed under the name Cricetulus griseus (Chinese hamster). Lineage: Eukaryota; Metazoa; Chordata; Mammalia; Rodentia; Cricetidae. The record is from RNAcentral.